GAAAGUAGUGUUGUCCUGUUCAAGCCAGAACAUAUUUGGCUAUGCCCUUAAUUUAUUUUUAUUUUUUCCCUUCCUCCCCAGCUAAACAGACGUGCGAACAAGAAGAAGGCAUCCAAGACGGCAACAACCAAGGAGGAGCCUACGCCGAAACUGGUUGGCAAAGGUCGUGGAUGCACCAUCGAAACUGGGGACAAUUGCACCAUUGAAGUGAGUCAGCUGGCGGCCAAGGACUUGGACGCAAGCGCUACCGGCUCGGAUGAAAACGACUGCCCGGCCGCGGCUGCUGUGCCCACCUUGCGCAUUGCUGGCGCCACCGUCACUGAAAGCGACACCGACGGCCCACUUAGCUCUAACGGAGCCGCAGCGGCAGCGGCCUCGGAACAGUUCGCCUCUGUCUAGCCCGUCAUCAAGGACCUAGCAGCUGCCACACGCACCGCGAGUUGCUAGUGUGUUGACCGGCCUGCCUCGAUUCCCAGUGCCGACAGUUUUUUGUUCGCUUCUUUGAUCUCUGCUUGUUAUGGUACCACUGUACAUUACUUUUUUUUACCUCGUUAUACUCUACAUGAUGAUUUCAUUUUUAUUUUGUUAGUAGAUCCGUCUAAAUGUGGUGCUGUUUGGGCUCAACGUAUUGGUGGACUGCAGGUGAAGACGUAGUCAGCGAUACUUCCAGCACCAUCUUGAUAAUAAUCGCUUGUGACAUCAAGACUGCCUGCAGGUUCACUGCAAGCCAGUGAGCAAUGAGUGGAAGCGAGAGCAUCUGCAUUGCUUGGUAACGCGCUAAGCAGCCUGCAUUAGUUGGUUUGGGUGCAUUAGCAGUUAACAUAGUGGAAACGACUUGGAGGUGUUGUCACUGAUAAAGCCGAGCCCACUGUGGCGCCCCCAAGGAAAGAAAAGCAGCAAAAUUGCAGCCUCUCACAAGCUAUCAACUGGUUGUGCACAUUGCCGGCAUGUAACCUCGACGGUAUCACGACCGGUUCUUGAAAAAGGCAACGACACAUGUACUUAUACUGGCAAUGUUUUCAUUAGGUAUUCUCAAUAUCUUGAAUUCGGUACGUCAUAACAUCCUCUUCCUGCUGCGCCUAGACCUUGUCAUAGCCAGAAAAUUAACCACUUCUUAUAGUCAGGCCGAAUUAGAAAGGACCUUAUUUUUUCAUUUCUGUCUAACUAGCUCUGCCUAAAUGCGUACAACUCUCUUCUCUUAUGAUGUUUUAACAAGUCUUUCACGCGCAGUCGACUGUCGGCACUGGAAUGCGCGAGAGGUUGGUCAGCAGUAGAGACCCACGGAGUGGUGUGUCAUCAACGAUCUUUCCACUUCUUCAUCCUCAUCUGUCCCUCUUUUUUUUUUGUCUGGCAAAAGUCUCCCCAAUUGUUGUUACAGCACGUGUGAACCGGACACGUCUCGGCUGCGCCGAGCAGUGGUGUGGGCCACACCGUACCUGAACAUGCGGCAUCACCGAGGACUUGUUGGGGAUGAACUUGUGCGUGCAUGUGUGUGUGUCUGUGAACAAGUGAGACAAUUUUUCAUCUAUGAGUGCUCGACCAUUGCAUUUUUUCCCCCUGUGCUUUUUUUUUUUUUACGAACUCAUCGUGGACUUGAAAGAUCAAGCGACGACUCAUUAGCAUCAAAGGACAUCUUGUCAAAACAAGGAUUUGCACCGUGUCACUCUUGGGCGGAGACGUGGCACUUUCCGCACACGUCGCGUCGUCUGCCCUGGUUGCUGUGUGCCAACUGCAUCGAAUCGAGCCUACAGUGUAUUGAGCUGUGCCCAAACUGAAAGAUGGCUGCGGUCGGGCCACAAUCUGUGCCCGCUGCUCUCGUGAGCUGUGGCUUUUUAAAACGCCAGUCACAUCGAUUAGGAAAGUUGGUCAUACAAUGAAGCCCGGGUGUGUGAAGUACUGGUCUGAUGAACCCAUGCUUAGCAGCAACUGCUUGUCUCUCAACUUUAACAUUGGCACACCAGACCUUUGAUAAUGUGGCAGCCUUUUUACUUUUGUUUUGCAUGUAGACGCAAGAAAAGUAUCUUUACAAACCGAAAAUGUUUCAGUGUACAGAGUGCGGUAAUGAUCGGAGAAACAAAGCUCAUAAGAAAAUAAACGCUAAAGCCGUUGGGCAUUCCGAGCACUGCGUGAGUGUAACCACAGCUUUGACGGCGUUUGCAGCAUAGGAGACACAAUUCCAGGGACCAGAUGCAAGCAGACGUCAGCGUACGGUGUGCAUGUACAGUGUUUUACUCCUUUUUUUUUCUGUUAGGUUUUUGCGAGGUGUAUAUUUAUCGGAGAGCAGUGUUGGUGAGAACUGGGAACAAGAUGGCCGCCGACUGACUGUGAAUUACGCAACGUCUAAACGAGGAGGAGAGUGAGAGAUUUGCAAUGGUGAUGAUGGCUGGUAUUUCAAUGGCCACCGGAGUUUCGCAAUGACAGAAGCGGCUCGUAUCUUGUAUUUAUUUUUUUUUUUCUUUGAACAGUAGAUAAUGGUUCGUCUUGCGCCACCUUAGUUUUUAAAGUGGCCUCGGGGCAGUGGUUACUGCUGCUGCUGUUCCCUGCCGUUUGGUUUCACAGUAAACCAGCGAAACUGUAGGAACAGGGGAUAAAGGAAAAUGCUUUUUAAUGGAAAAAAAAGCAAAAGCGUAAAAAAACCGUAGAGGCACGAUCACGCGAUCAAUGCCCCGCUAACCGCCCUCGCAACGCUCGCCCAGUUUGGGGGACAUCCGUUGUUCGGGGGGUGGAAACAUACAACUACCAUAGUGAAACAUGAAAAACUUUUGUCCAGAACCCUCUUUCGGGGAGUUUUGGUUGCAGCGGUCUUGCGAGACGCACUCGCAGCGCGACGACUCUAAGAUUACUUUCCUUUGGGCUGCGACAACAAGGCUUUGGAAGGUGGGGAAGAUUCCUCUGUCUGAAAAAGAAAAGGCCGGGCAGACCCAGCGUUCGUUCACUUGUCGCCCCUCUUGACUCUCUUUUGAAUGCUAGCCUCCCACCCACAAAAAAGGCAGCCAAAGCAUUGCUAAUUGUUUCCAUGUUGACAGGGAGUUAGGUAACGUGCCAUCAGCUAUGGCCUUCUUCCAAUGAUAACCACCGCAUUGGCUUUCUGUUGCAUGCGUCGGCGGAGCCAUUGCAAUAUAAUGAUCAAAGACACGAACGCUUACUCAGUUUAGAGAAAAGAAGCAAAAAAACUGAAGCUAAGAAAGGAAGUUGCGCCGAAAAAGCGCCACGUUGGCACUAAACUUGCUGCUUUGAGACACUGUGCUUGCAGAACUUUUGACGGGAACACUCUUUUUUUUUUUUUUUUUUUACCCUGAAAAACCUAUUGAGAGGCACAAAGGGCGCUUCUUUGUCCUCAACCCCUCCCACCCCUCUCCCAGUUAUAUUUUAUUCAAGGUUUUUAAGGCAAGACCAAAAAAAGAAAAGUGUCACAACCUUUCAAACUAAGCGUCCUGCUUCUACUACUCGACAUCGUAGACAAAGUACUCCGCGCAUAACUCACUUCAAGAACAAGGGAGCUCACCACCGAGUUCCGCACCGCAAAAUGAACGGAGGCAAACGUGUCUUGCGAUAUUUUUUCAAGACUAAAGCUGUCGCGCGCGUGCAACUUCUUUAAAGAGAUAGCCAACAGCCCCACUCUUCAAGCGGCAUCGGGUGCGCCCGACAGCCGAGGGCACAUAGACGACGUAACGAAAGACGUAACUGUAACGUGACAUAACGUGGCGUCCUGAGCGGGGACAGCCGUUCCCACACACAGCGACGACCAGACUUCAUGCUUUAAUGCGGGUGGGUAUUGGGGGAGGGGUCUACGGGUGCUUGCCCCUCUGUUCUUCGGAAUGCUCGACGAGCGCUCUCAUUUUUCGUGGCAUCAAGCAGCGAAGCGAAGACCGAGCCGGCGCGACAGCAAAGCCGCAGCAAUGGUUCUCUCUCUCCCCGACUGCACGCACCCGCCCCCUUUCACCACACUCCGCAGCAUAAAUUGCAUGAGCGAUCUUUUUUUUUUUUCUUUUGUAAACCCAUCCGGUUGCGCCGGACAGGGCAGUGUUCUUGUGGCAUCCCUCGCUUUUAGUUUUUUCUUUAACCUCCCCCCUUCUUGCUAUGAGAACAGCUUUUCACUUGAAAAGUGAGCGGCAGACGACUCAAAGCGUCGUCUGCAGCCGUAUUAGCUUUACUUGAACGCUAGACUGAGUGUAGGUGGGGAGCCAGUUAGCCUCAGAGCUUUUGUGUAAAUGUGUCGGGCAGUCGUUCACUGCUUUGCUAUAGGACCAGCUCCUGUUCUUGUUCCUUUAGUUUGCGCUUUUGGCACUCUUGCGUUUAAUGGGUAGCGGCUGCCCUCUCCCAUUUGUUAUAUUAUUGUGCCCCGCGAGUUUUUUCAGAAACCGCGUUCAUUUUGUAGUGGCAACUGUUUCUUGGUCCUCGUAGCGAAGGCUUCAGUGACAUGUCGAGCAGCGUUCGCGUCCAAUUCUUUCUUUUUUCAUUUGCCGAAACUGCUUUGAUGCCCAUAAAUGUACUACUGUAUUGAGAUGAGUUUUUGGUGUUUGUCUGCGUAAACGCCGGGCCUAGCGCCCUUGAUAUGCAUGCUGGGACACGGCACCGUUAGGCGGUCCAAAUGUUUUGAAAUGUGUAUUAUUAUCAUGAUUAUCACUAUUAUUAUUACCUGUGCUAGGAAACUACUGCUGGAGUGAACAAACACAGGAGAGAGAGAGAGCGAGAAAAAAAAAUAUUCGUGUUGUAGCAUUAACACCGAGCACCAAUGUUUGCCACUACAUGCCGUGGGGGAAAAAAAAGUUAUUACAAGUGGGUGCACUGUAUCGGUUUGUUAGACAAAUGUACGUCUGCAGUAUUGCAUUCUUGAUUGUUUAAUCUGCUUGCUGACUUUUUGCCUUUCAUAGGCUACAAUGACCCUAGCACUGAGUGAGUGAGUGCUGUAUUUUUUUGUCUUAAUUCCUUGAGCGAACAGUGUAAAUCUUUGUGCUUUGUGAAGCUUGUCAGUGCAACAAGAAGGAAAGGCCUACUUUCUGCAGAGCCAGGAACUUGGCACUGCAGGUUGGCCGGGAUCUGGCUGCACACCAAAUGGAGGAAACGCAGACUCAUUCUUUCGAAAUGUUUGCCGCUGCCACCGCUCAUGCGAACCCCUGAACAGGAACACCAGCAAGCCCACUGUGCAUAUGUGAUUAGCGCGGCAGUUGCAUACCAAGAUGUUUCCUGUUUUGGAAGUAGUUUGUAAAGUGUGUGCUUGCGACUUAUAACAAUUCUGCUGGUGUGUGCGUAUCACACGUUUCGGCAGGCUGUAGCGAAAUUAUUGAAACAGGCAUCAGUUGCAUCUGCCAGCUGCUGCAUUAGCUGUCUUGGAUUUGUGAAACCCAUUGCUGGGUGCUUGCCUAGCAGUUAUUAGAUACCCUGCCGAACUGCUCAAACUUCAGACUCUAAAUUGUAGGAGGACCAUAACGGUAAAACGACUCUGGCUAAACUUCAUCGCAGGUGGGUUCCUUUCUUGAUUCGCAUCGUUUCCUCCAUCUUGUGUGCUUGCUUCGUUGCGAUAAAACUGGCAGCGAGCCUCGAGAGUGACACCACAGGCACGGUGCAGACAGGCUGGUGCAUCUGACGACGGCUGGUUACAGGCUCGACACAGGCUAUGCAUCUGUUUUAUCUGGCUAGUGUAUAACAGUAUUGUGGCACAACUUUUCCUUUUUCUCACUUGCACCUGCCAGAGAGCUCUUAAUAAUUUCACUGGCAGCUUAGAGUCAUACACAUCGUUAUCCCAACAGAUUUGUCUUGUCAGUUGCAGUUAGAUAAGGCUGGCAGUAGCAGUGAUGACUGAUGCGCCUGUUUGGCCUAACACACUCGUGCUAGUCGUCAAGUUUCAAAUACAGUAGGAGAACAAUUACUGUACAGUCUUUUUAUUCUGCUGUAUUCUUUGCGUGUAUUGAUCAGAUGUUAUGCUUCAGCCUUAUGUGCCAGUGAAAACUGGACACUCUUGACGCAUAUCUAACUUCUCAAUCCCCAUCACUCUUGAUUGGCGCUUGAGCUGGAUCUUACUGGCACCUUUGGGUGGUUUGCGCAAACGUGCAUGUCAGGAUGUGCAUACCGAGGGCUCAAUUCAAAAAGGGACUCAUGCGACUGUGGUGACCUCACCCACAUUAAUCAAAAUUGUGCGUACAUCUAGCGCUAUGCCCAAUCAAGCUUUUCUUAAUCAAACCCAUUUUGUACAACACACUCGUCAAGCCUGUACUUUUUAGCUCUCAGUAGUGCACCAGCCGACUAGCCACCAAGUGCCGCGUCGGAGCAAGGGGUCUUUGAAUUUUUCUGCAUAUAUAGCAUGUUGUUUCUUUUGGUUAUUGUUCUCUCCGAGUGCACCUUACUAACCUGUCUACUCCCCCCCCCUUAUUUUUUUCUUUAGGCCAACGUGUUGUAGUAAGUGGGUUGUCUGUAUAAUUGUCAAGUUUUUUGGCACGAGCAUUUAUUACGCCAUGGUAACCAGUUAUCUUGAUAAGCAGUGUAUCUUCUUAACAUUAAUCGGUGUCGCGGAGGAAACGCCGCACUACGGCUGCGAAAAAAAGGACCGGGAGGAGAGAGAGAGAAAAAAAAAAAAAACACUUGUGGGGUUUAACAAGCGUCGCCGCCGCGUACCACAACUCCAGUUACUGUAUGCGAUUGCAUGUCUUGCGCGGGCAUCCCCGGAAGCCCGCAUUACUGUCAAUUUGUAACCUUUUUCUUUUCUUGCAGCGCAUGGUCAUUUCAAAUAUUUUUUUUUACACUUUCUCCACUGUAAGGAUGAGCAGGAUGAUUCAGAGAACAGGCAACGGGAAACAAAAAGGCCUUUCAGCGAGAGGGCUGGCUUAGUAUGCUCACAGGAGGCAUUGACGUAAUUGCAUCAAAGUGGGGACAAUCUGUGAUUGGGCUCGGGGAUAAAGCGGGGGAAUCAAGGUGGACUGUCAAUGAAACGGCCUAGGUACUAGGUGGUUGGGAGGGGAAAUGCAUCAGUGCGACAAAUUGCAGCAUGUACCAGGUUGAAAGUUGGUUGAACAGUCUGUGUUGGCGGGCAUGGCGUGCGUUGAAGUCUCAACUUCGCCGAAAACGGGAGAGGGAAAAAGACUGCAUCUGUGUGAGCAGGCUGUCGCUGCGAUGCCCGGCGCGUCGGCAGUUGUGCGUCGUCAUGCUGGUCUCUGGAGAGGGAUGUAAUUCAUGUGUUGCCAGUUUUGUGAAUAAAACUGAUUUGUUUUCCUCAA
Molecule: long non-coding RNA, 7211 nt
Organism: Rhipicephalus sanguineus (brown dog tick)
Lineage: Eukaryota; Metazoa; Arthropoda; Arachnida; Ixodida; Ixodidae
Exons: 2
Source: RefSeq, a predicted model, not a curated record